CCCGACUGCUAUUUGGGUGAGGAUAAGCCAUGCGAGUCGAAUGGGAUGCCUAAAAUUCCCAUGGCGAACUGCUUAGUAACACAUGAUCAACUUACCCUAUGGAGAAAAAUAACCUCGGGAAACUGAGGAUAAUGUUUCAUAGUUGAAUAGGCUUGGAAAAGUUUUUCAAUGAAAUGGAUAAGAAAAAUGGUUCUUAUCUGCCAUAGGAUAGGAUCGUGGUCGAUUAUGGUUGUUGGCGAGAUAGCGGCUCACCAAGCCGAUAAUCGAUAGGGGCCGUGAGAGCGGGAGCCCCAAGAUGGGUACUGAGACAACGACCCAGGCCUUACGAGGCGCAGCAGGCGCGGAACCUCCGCAAUACACGAAAGUGUGACGGGGUUACCCAAAGUGUUCUCUAUAGAACUGUGGUAGGUGAGUAAUGUUCCCUACUAGAAAGGAGAGGGCAAGGCUGGUGCCAGCCGCCGCGGUAAAACCAGCUCUUCAAGUGGUCGGGAUAAUAUUGGGCUUAAAGUGUCCGUAGCCGGUUUAGUAAGUUCCUGGUAAAAUCGGGUAGCUUAACUAUCUAUAUGCUAGGAAUACUGCUAUACUAGAGGGCGGGAGAGGUCUGAGGUACUACAGGGGUAGGGGUGAAAUCUUAUAAUCCUUGUAGGACCACCAGUGGCGAAGGCGUCAGACUGGAACGCGCCUGACGGUGAGGGACGAAAGCCAGGGGAGCGAACCGGAUUAGAUACCCGGGUAGUCCUGGCCGUAAACGAUGCAUACUAGGUGAUGGCACGGCCAUGAGCCGUGUCAGUGCCGUAGGGAAACCGUUAAGUGUGCCGCCUGGGAAGUACGGUCGCAAGGCUAAAACUUAAAGGAAUUGGCGGGGGAGCACCACAAGGGGUGAAGCCUGCGGUUUA
This 896-nucleotide ribosomal RNA is filed under the name uncultured archaeon. RNAcentral's name for it is "bacterial SSU rRNA". It matches the Rfam family "Archaeal small subunit ribosomal RNA", at positions 21 to 904 of the family's 1478-position model. The record is from RNAcentral.